This is a non-coding RNA of Zootermopsis nevadensis, 107 nucleotides long. NCBI's taxonomy places the organism in Eukaryota, Metazoa, Arthropoda, Insecta, Blattodea, Termopsidae. The record is from Rfam.
CUCCGUGUUGCAGGCCGGUGGGAGUCUGGGGCAAAAUCGUGGGUUCGCUGUGUGCCAUCGCCGGCGUGCUGACCAUCGCGCUGCCGGUCCCGGUGAUCGUCUCCAAC